AAACUAGUAAUUAAUUAAAAUAAAACUAGCUAUAAAUACACCGACAGUCAACUUUCUGCCAAUUAACAAAUGAACGUUAUAAUAAGGUAUAAAACUUUACGAUGAAUUUUACAUUUUUAUGUUGAAGAGGUUUUUCUUUUUUCUUUUUUCUAUUUUUUAAAAUUUUUACAACACAACCACGUAUACCACCUAAUUAUGUUGCUGCAGCAUUAAGUGUUAAAGACAUAUUAUGAAUAUUUAAACCAACGUUAGCAGCAAUAUUUUUGCUUGGCUGCUUCUCACCCCCUCCCCACCCCAUCCAAGAAGCGAACAAGUUUAGUGUGUUAUGUACCAUACAUUCAGGAGAAUGAUAAACUAUUACAUAAUUUGCUGAAACACGUAUCAGCAUUUUGCUAUUAACUGCACUAAUUAUAAUUGCUAUGAUAUUGCGUCAUUAGGUCUAUAAGAGGCCCUGGUCAUUGGUUCUAUAGGUACUAAUAUUUUGGCAUUGGUCCCUGGUUUAAAGUUCAUAGUAAACUAAUAUUUAUAUAAGAAAUUUACUGUUUGACUUGGAUGCAGUAACAGCAGCGGAUGUGUAUUCAACAACAUGUGACCAUUAUCAGUUUAAAAUAAGAUAAAUAGAGAAAGAAAACGUCAUACAGUGAUUAAUCAACUGUGAACUGAUGGAUCUGCAAUAAUGGAAUUAUUUGGUCCCAUUUGAUGGCCAGAAGGACUUAAGCUUGCUUGGUCAACGGGUAGUAUGUAUCACGGCGAAAAGUACCCGAUCCUAGGAUUAAAAGAUAAACGCACCUCAAAAUCCGCAUCAAGCCUCGGAAGUGCAACAGAAUCCUAUGGAGUGUCCGGCUACAAAAGUUUAUCAAUGAGUGAGACACGAACAUUGUCGAAUGUUUCCGACAUGGAAUUUAGUCAAGAACUGGCAUUCGGGGAAGAUAAUGACAUAAGUAGACAUAGCCAGGAUAGUCAGUCGAUAGAUUCGUAUUCAGAGCAAGUUAACAACGGGGAAGCAUUACAAGCUUGUAAAAAUUCUGUUAUUCAACCAUACCAAAAACUACUGACCAUCCUUGGGUGGCGACCAAUAUUCACUGCGGUGCCUUAUCACAACCAACCAUCAAGAUGUGUGCGCCCCAUCAACUUUUUCUAUCCGAUGUUAGUCUUCUGUGUCAUAAUUCUGAGCUUCCUUCUCCAGUUUGCUUCAUGCUAUCGUGUCAAUAUAAAUAUCCCUCAACAAAGAAACGCGUCAUCAAUGCGUCACAAUUUCUUAGACUGUCAAGAGUUUAUGAUCAGUCAGUAUAUAAUCCCAGAUGUACUGCAGUUAACAGCUUACGUUUACGCAUAUUAUAUCUACAAAGUAUGGGACAAGGAACAGCUUCAGACGCUCAUUGAACGAGUUUUCUUAAAGAGCGGUUCCAAUAAGUGUGGCCUUUCUCCACGACAAUUAGCCAAAACUAUGAAAGCAUUUGUGGUACUAGGAUUUUUUUGGAUCGUCUGCGCCAUCAGUGUGCAGAUCUUACACGUGAUUUCUCAAGAACAGAUGUCAUUUACAUUCCUUCAUGUCAGCUCUAAUGCUCAGUACUAUACUCUUGUGAUUCUCAUGUUACUGGGAUGUGUUAUUCUCGAUACUGUAUACGUCACCGCAAUAAUCGACUACGUCACACAGUGUCAACUCUUAAUAUAUUUACUACAAGGUUUAUGUGACCGUGUAAGAGAGAGAACUAUAGAUUUAGAAGAAGCCAUUAAAGAUAUUCAAGAAGCAGAGACGCUAUCCCGAAUAGUCAAUUAUCGCAUUGCGUCAUGCAUAUCAUUACUUUUAUUCAAUUUGGGUUUAAUGGCUGUACUCGACUGUGUUGCGUUUGCUGACGGUAGGUUGUUAAAUUUUACAACGUUAAUGUACAUGGCUAGCCUUUGUGGUGCAGUGGUUUGGAUUUGUAUUUCCGGAACUCCGUUCAUACAGGCUGCUCGGCUUAACUCGGCAUGUCGGGCAGUGCUGACACUGGGGCACGAGAUACGCUCGAGACCGUUCGGCUUUCAAGAUACACAAACGGGAGCUCUCGAUUCAUUCCUUUUAUUUACAUCCACUAUCACGUUUAAGGCUAAACUGUUCCGAACAACAGUGAACUCGUCGUUUCUGUGCGUUUCUUUUACUAUAAUAUCGUUUACAUUACUCUUCCUCUUCCAAUUGGAAUUCUUUCAAGUUUGGAACUGAUCAUCAAGUUAGACAAUAAUGUUAAUUUGGAUUACAUUAUUUAAUGAUGACGGUAUGUUCCGUUUGCUAGUGACAGUGCAACAUUAGUUCAUGUGUUGAUAAGAGUGGUGGAUAUAUAUAAGUAUAAUGACUUUUAUGUGCCUUCACAGUCGGAUAUUUUUAAGGACAGAAAUAAAGAAAAGAACAGACUGAAAGAAAGAGAGAAAAGAGCAAAAAAAAAAAAAGAAGCAAAAUAGAAUCUAUGAAAGACAUCAUCUGCCUUCUUUUUAGGGUUGUGCAGACUUUAUGAUGAUGUGACUAUGUGUUGCACAAGGGCAUACUGUAGUAUGUUGGGCGUUUUAUUGAGGACAAAUGUUGUCCAUUCAUCGACAUCGACUUGUUGAGCAUUAAAAUGAUGACCCCAAUAAACCUUACUAUCUUUAAUAUUUUUGCCAAAAUUGUAACACGAAAUAAUUAGAAUCCAUGCUCAUGGAUAAAUCAUGGAACAUUAAGAUACCUACAAUUUCUUUGUAUACAUGUCGAUAUGCCUCUAUUUGGAAAUAAAUCGUGUGUAUUGUAGCUACUAGGGAUGGCAGUUUUUUUACAACACAAAAGUACUUUGUAGUUUUGUUAAAACUUUGAGAGUCAAACGUACGUAUGAGAGGCUCGUUCAAUGGUCAGUGAAUAAUAAAGCUGCACACUGCCUUUCAGCCAAUUACAGAGAGAAACGCUCAGGUUAUUUAUCUUAAAUUUAGUUUAACAGCAAGUGCAUCCCAUUUUAAUAGACCUUCCAGAGUGCCAAUCAAACUUGACCAACCAGAACAGUCAGGAAUAUGCGCGUGUCUAACAAACACAUAUGUUGUCCUACAAAUGCAAUGUUUGCGUAUGUGAACCACUAUCUCUAUACAUGUAUAUUAAGGGACCUCCUGACCAACAAAAUUCAAGAGGUGGAGCUUAGUGGCAAGGGCCAUUAGGAAUACUGUAUUCUUUUAAAUAUUGCAUAUUUUAUGUUGAAAAAAAUAAAUAAAUAAAAAAUCUGA
This 3222-nucleotide unclassified non-coding RNA is filed under the name Anneissia japonica. Its description in RNAcentral is "uncharacterized LOC117101541, transcript variant X1". Lineage: Eukaryota; Metazoa; Echinodermata; Crinoidea; Comatulida; Comatulidae. The record is from RNAcentral.